RNAcentral lists this small nuclear RNA (107 nucleotides) under Sciurus vulgaris (Eurasian red squirrel). Lineage: Eukaryota; Metazoa; Chordata; Mammalia; Rodentia; Sciuridae. The record is from RNAcentral.
GUGCUUGCUUUGGUAGCACAUCUAUUAAUACUAGAAUAAUACAGAGAAGAUCAUCGAGACACCUGUGCAAGGAUGAGAUGCAAAUUCAUGAAGCAUUCUAUAUGAAA